Molecule: non-coding RNA, 2169 nt
Organism: Myodes glareolus (Bank vole)
Lineage: Eukaryota; Metazoa; Chordata; Mammalia; Rodentia; Cricetidae
Source: RefSeq, a predicted model, not a curated record
AUGGUACUCCUCAGCACCCUCUGGAUGGAACUCCUCAGCACAGACACAGGGCUAGCCCUCUGGAUGGAAUUCCUUAUCACCCUCUGGAUUGAACUCCUCAGCACAGAAAUAGGGGUAGCUGGUAUUCCAAGGACACAGGAGCCAAAGCGGCAACCAUGGGGGCAGGAUAGAGUUCAGUGGAACACCGAAGACCCAGCUGCAGAAGCUGGGUGGGGGGGUGCUCUCUUCGGGGACAGUCCGCCCUGGAUAGCACAUACUCAUCUCUCUGGAAAGAAACACUCAGCACUAAUAUAGGGAUAGUUGGUAUUCCAAGGACACAGUAGAAAAAAGGGUGACAGUGGUGGCAAGGUAGGGUUGAGUGGAACACAGAAGACCCUGCAGCAGAAGCUGGGGGGUGUCUGUGUUCUCUUCUGGGACAGUCUGCCCCGGAUAGCCCAGACUCACCCCUCUAGUUGGAACUCCUCAGCACUCCUUACAUACCUUCUUAUUUCUAGUCACACAAUCACAUAUAUAGCAAUAUGAUCUUCUAGGAUCCCAAGUUUGCUUGUAAAGUCAUCAUGUGUUUCAUGUUUAAAUUUUCUCCUGACUGUCCACUUGAAACCCUUUCAUGUGUUCUGCUAACUCCAAAUUCUUCAACAUCUCCUUCUCCAUUUGAGACCAGGGUUUAUGUAGCCCAGGCUGACAUCACAGUCAUGGUGUGCCUAAAAUUGACCUUUUAACUUCUAGGUUACCAUGCCUACUUUAUAAAGUGCUGGAGAUGGAGCACAUGACUUCAUACAUGCCGGGCUAGCUCUCCACCUAAACAUCGGCCCUUAUGCUUCAUUUUUGAUAGCUAAAAAGAUGCUAAUUUACAAAAUACCCACUUAUUGUGAUUUGUAGCCCUUCACUCUUUCUCAGCAUUUUCACCAGUUAUGAGUUUCUGUGUUAACUGUCUCCACCACAAUCAGAAGCUUCUCUGACCAAGACUAAGAGCGGCACUAAUUUUUUCUGUAUAAACAUGAAUAUUCAGUGGACAGUUGUCCACUUAGCAAAACAACAGGAGUACAUUCUCCCCUAGAUACUAUGACCACCCUAUCAAUCAGAUUUUGACCACACUUAGAGUAUCAGUCAUUAAUUCCCCCUAUAAAUUGGAACUCCAAUCCAAUCAGACAGUGGUUGCUUACCUCUUACCCAUAACAACAGUAUUAUAGUACUGGGAACACAGGAUGCAUUUUCUGUCUGACAGCAUUUGUUUUUUCUACCAUAUGAAAAUUGUUAUAAGACAAGGGGAAAGGAAAGGACCUUUAGUGUACAGUUCUCAGAGUCAAUACAUGGAAACAGAAGUUCAAUGAACCUUUGCCAAUCUACCUCUACGUUACUAGUUAGAUGUCUAAAGGCAAAUUCAUGUGUGUAGCUCUUAUGCUUCUAUUAUUUGCUAACUUGUCACUACUGUGUAUCUCCAGGUUCAGCAAGGAGAACAAGGGCAGCAUCAAUCCUCAUGUAUACAUGCCCUUUGGGAAUAGACCCAGAAACUGCAUUGACAUGAGGUUUGCUCUCAUGAAUAUGAAACUUGCUCUCACUAAAGUCCUGCAGAACUUCUCUUUCCAUCCUUGUAAGGAAACACAGAUUCCUGUGAAAUUAAGCUGAAAAUCAAUGCUUCAACCAGAAAAAUACAUUCUUCUAAAGGUUGCGUCACGUGAUGCAAUCAUAACUGGAGCAUAAUUUUCCAUCAAAGAGUUCAGUUGUGUUCUUCAAGAAGGUGAUGCCUAAGAACAUUGUAAACUUUGGUUUACUUCAUGAAUAACCCAGAAGAAGAAAGGGUUUAGUUGACUGGCCUUGAAAGAUCAUUAUGAACUUUCAUACAUCCAUUGAGUUUCUCAUUAUCAAAAUGUGAUAUAAAGAAAAUGACUACGUCUGUGACAGAAUGAGAAAUUCAUCUUCUGUUGUCCUCAUGGGACCACCUCAAUUCACAUUUGAUUGGCUCCAUCAGUUCUUUUCAGCUUUUUUGAGAAUAACUUAGCCUCUGUAACUUGAUGAGUAAUUUGUUUUUAUGAAAAUAUGAAGCAUGGUGACUUCUCUUAUUAUAAAACUGGAUCAAAUGCUUUAGUUGCAGUAUUCUACAAUAAGCGUUAUACUGAAAAUAUAAACAUUUCUUUGAAAAAAUAAAUUCAUUUACCUGUUUAUUUUUCA